Molecule: long non-coding RNA, 1282 nt
Organism: Beta vulgaris subsp. vulgaris (sugar beet)
Lineage: Eukaryota; Viridiplantae; Streptophyta; Magnoliopsida; Caryophyllales; Amaranthaceae
Exons: 3
Source: RefSeq, a predicted model, not a curated record
ACACUGUCAGAAACUUACACCGCCUCAUUUGAUAAAAGCACCAUUCAGGCCUCAAUUGCAAAAAUUCCAGAGCGAAAUUCCAAACCCUAAUGAAAAAUUCCCCUCUUUCUUUCAGGGAAUUCGGCGAUAAUCGAAAUUCUACUUCUUCCUCAAACAUUAUGAUGGAGUGCGAAGUUCCGGAAUUCGAACUCCCAAGUGUUUUCCAGAACACCAUCUUUCGAUUUCUGGAUAUCAAUUUCCGUAAUUGAAAAUCUUCAAUUCAUAUGAGUGGUAAUUGAUUGCCGUGUUUUGAAUAUCGCCUUCUGAAGAGCCAAUAAUGAAGAUCUCUUUGAUUUUGCUAUUUAGUUACAUUGAGUUAUUGGAGUGCGAAGAACGAAUGUCUAAGUUAGAAGGUUGUUUGAAGGUAUUGGUUCUUCGUAGGCAGACUUACGGUUUUUACGAUCAAUUCUUUGUACUCGUAUGGAUGCGCCUCCACUUCUGCAAGGCAUGCGCCUCCUUAGCAUGCGCCUCGGCCUUCGCGCCUUAUCUAGGUUUGACAUCAGUGAGUGGAUUUUGAUAUGAUAAAGAAGAUCACACUUCUUGCCAAAGAUGUUAUCCUCUAUAGGCUGGAAACUGGUGUUCAGAAUAAAGGGUAUGGGGAGCACCCACACCCAAUAGCAAAGGUUUAUUGUAUGAUGAAGUGCGUGAGAGAUGAUCUUUUUUUAGAUGAAAUUAUAUGCAGACCUGACUUGGGAAAUCACUUGCAGGUUUCUUCAAUAAUAUUAGAGAUUGGAACUAAGAUUUAGGAGAGAUAUGAAACGGGGGCCUGGGUGUAUUUUUUAUCGUACAAAGUUAUGUUAUACUAAACUGAAUAGAUUCUUGGUGACAACUUGUUUUUACUAUACACUACUUGUAUUUAAUGCUGAAAAAUAAUAAGAGCCUUAAUUGGGGAUGGUGUGAUGUAUACUUUCCAGGAUAAGGUAGAUGUGAAUGCUUGUUUUAGUUCAGCUCACUUGCGGUUGAUAGGAUGCUUAGUUUUGUUAUUCUUGUGGGUUUGUGGCAAUUGUAAUUUGAAGUUAGAAUUGAGUGGAUGGAAGCUCCACUUGAAAGAGUAUGGUCAUGCCUAAAGUGGCUAGAGUGAUGAUUUUUAUAUGAAGCAAGUGAUCGAUGCUAUUCUUCAAGUUUCAUCGUAUAGCUUUUGUGGUGGAUGUUUCAAUGGGCAUAUUGCUGAUAACUAACGGGAAAUUCAUACUGACAUGGUGACAAUAUUAAUGAAUUACUGGUAUUGAGUUGAGUGUGCCCC